CCUACGGGUGGCAGCAGUGAGGAAUAUUGGUCAAUGGGCGGAAGCCUGAACCAGCCAAGUAGCGUGCAGGAUGACGGCCCUACGGGUUGUAAACUUCUUUUAUACGGGAAUAAAGUGUCUUACGUGUAGGGUUUUGCAUGUACCGUAUGAAUAAGGACCGGCUAAUUCCGUGCCAGCAGCCGCGGUAAUACGGAGGGUCCGGGCGUUAUCCGGAUUUAUUGGGUUUAAGGGGAGCGUAGGUCGGAUGUUAAGCGUGCUGUGAAAUGUCCGGGCUCAACCCGGGGCUUGCAGUGGAAACUGGCGUGCUUGAGUCCGCGGAAGGCAGGCGGAAUUCGUGGUGUAGCGGUGAAAUGCUUAGAUAUGACGAAGAACCCCGAUUGCGAAGGCAGCUUGCUGCAGCGGAACUGACGCUGAUGCUCGAAAGCGCGGGUAUCGAACAGGAUUAGAUACCCGGGUAGUC
This 460-nucleotide ribosomal RNA is filed under the name uncultured bacterium. Its description in RNAcentral is "partial 16S ribosomal RNA". It matches the Rfam family "Bacterial small subunit ribosomal RNA", at positions 338 to 795 of the family's 1533-position model. The record is from RNAcentral.